Molecule: small nucleolar RNA, 93 nt
Organism: Gorilla gorilla gorilla (western lowland gorilla)
Lineage: Eukaryota; Metazoa; Chordata; Mammalia; Primates; Hominidae
Source: Ensembl
CAGACUUACAGAUAGGUUCGAGAAAUAAAUCCUCUUUUGCAACCCAGAGCACAUUGUUCAGUAUGAGUUUCGAUACAUAUAAGAAUAAAUAUU